GACGAACCGUGCAAACGUUAUUCGGAAUCACUGGGCUUAAAGGGCGCGUAGGCGGGCGAUCAAGUCCGGGGUGAAAUCCUCCAGCUUAACUGGAGAAGUGCCUCGGAUACUGGUCGCCUCGAGGAGGGUAGGGGCAUCUGGAACUAGCGGUGGAGCGGUGAAAUGUUUUAAUAUCGCUAGGAACGCCGAUGGCGAAGGCAAGGUGCUGGACCCUUUCUGACGCUGAGGCGCGAAAGCCAGGGGAGCGAACGGG
RNAcentral lists this ribosomal RNA (253 nucleotides) under uncultured bacterium. RNAcentral describes it as "partial 16S ribosomal RNA". It matches the Rfam family "Bacterial small subunit ribosomal RNA", at positions 524 to 776 of the family's 1533-position model. The record is from RNAcentral.